CCCUUAGAUGUCCGGGGCCGCACGCGCGCUACACUGAAGGAAUCAGCGUGGCUUUCUCCCUGACCCGAAAGGGUUGGGAAACCCGUUGAAUCUCCUUCGUGAUAGGGAUUGGGGCUUGAAAUUGUUCCCCAUGAACGAGGAAUUCCCAGUAAGCGCGAGUCAUAGCUCGCGUUGAUUACGUCCCUGCCCUUUGUACACACCGCCCGUCGCUACUACCGAUUGAACGGUUUAGUGAGGGCCUCGGAUUGGUCUCGGCCCGCUCUUUACCGGGCGGCGCCGUUGGUCGAGAAGACGCUCGAACUUGAUCGUUUAGAGGAAGUAAAAGUCGUAACA
RNAcentral lists this ribosomal RNA (333 nucleotides) under uncultured eukaryote. RNAcentral describes it as "partial 18S ribosomal RNA". It matches the Rfam family "Eukaryotic small subunit ribosomal RNA", at positions 1470 to 1796 of the family's 1831-position model. The record is from RNAcentral.